Molecule: long non-coding RNA, 1022 nt
Filed under: Mus musculus (house mouse)
Lineage: Eukaryota; Metazoa; Chordata; Mammalia; Rodentia; Muridae
Description: expressed sequence AI847159
Source: RNAcentral
UUGGAUGCAAAGCUUUCUCAGUUUAACAGUGACCGGAGUAUCUCUGCUCUUUAGGACAGAGCUUUCUAUCUUAAGGUCCCAACAAGUGCUUUUUGGUGUCGGUGCUAGAGUUUCAUGUUUGCUGAGCAAGUGCUCUACCGCCGAGCUGCAUCUCCAAACCCACACAGGAAGCCUUGUAAAAAACUGAAAUGAAAGAAAAUACCAGAGCACAUUCAACAAUGAGAAAGAAAAACAAAAGUUGGCUACCACAUCUGGAAAGCUCCGGAUGGGAGAAACCAACAUUCUCACUACCAAGCCUCAGCACAGCUGGAAGGAAUUCGAAGGAGAAGUGUUGUCUCCUGGCCCUUCCCCUGACACUCCUGCGGUUGCAGACAGGUUGACUAUAGAAAAUCACAGCAGGUUGGAGCAUUCCAUUUCCUACUUUGCAAACAGGGAGUGGCCCAACACCUACUUCUGCAUCUCCGCCCAGACUCGGGGGUGGGGGAGGGUGUAAAGGACCUUAAGAGCGAGCGUAUUCCUUUUCCCUUAUGCAAAAAGACUGUUGACCACUCUACGUACAAAAUGUCCCCUGUCUGUCUGCCUUUUCCUCAGCAAUUGCUGAGCCAGUCAUUGGAAAGCGGCAAGGCAAAACACCCAUUACCAAGAUGUAGCUACCAAAGGACUGAGAUUUGGGAUCAGAAAUUCAAUACCUUUACCCCAGCCCUUGUGGACAACUUCCUCCUGUGGGACUGAGGACUCUAAGAGGUCACCAGAAAGUUAUAUAUGAGCUCCUCCAUUGCAUGGACUGUCUACCCCUCCUCAUCCCUGCCCGAGCGCCCUCUGCUCUCAGUGAGUUCUGCUCUUUGUUUCCCCUCAUCUUUUUCCCUGUCUGAAUCCAACCCACAGGGAUUAGCUCAGUUUUCUUAUCUUCUAGGAAGCCAAUCCACAAAGAACACUCAAAAUGCCUAAAAUCUCCUUAUGGCACUUAAAUGUUUAUGGGUAAUAAAAGGAAUCACUCCUCUCCUUAAAAAAAAAAAAAAAAA